This 443-nucleotide ribosomal RNA is filed under the name uncultured Pseudomonadota bacterium. RNAcentral describes it as "bacterial SSU rRNA". It matches the Rfam family "Bacterial small subunit ribosomal RNA", at positions 338 to 795 of the family's 1533-position model. Lineage: Bacteria; Pseudomonadati; Pseudomonadota. The record is from RNAcentral.
CCUACGGGUGGCUGCAGUGAGGAAUUUUGCGCAAUGGGGGAAACCCUGACGCAGCAAUGCCGCGUGAGUGACGAAGGCCUUCGGGUUGUAAAGCUCUUUUAGUUGGGAAGAAAAAAACGACGGUACCAACAGAAAAAGCACCGGCUAACUCUGUGCCAGCAGCCGCGGUAAUACAGAGGGUGCAAGCGUUAUUCGGAGUUACUGGGCGUAAAGCGCACGUAGGCGGCUUUAUAAGUCUGAUGUGAAAUCCCUGGACUCAAUCCAGGAAGUGCAUUGGAUACUGUAAGGCUAGAGUGUAGGAGAGGAGAACGGAAUUCCUGGUGUAGAGGUGAAAUUCGUAGAUAUCAGGAGGAACAACGGAAGCGAAGGCGGUUCUCUAGACUAUAACUGACGCUCAGGUGCGAAAGCGUGGGGAGCAAACAGGAUUAGAUACCCUGGUAGUC